GUGUUUUCCUAUUUUUCUUCAUCAAACUUCAGAUAACAAUAAAAUGAUGUUCAUGUGAUUGCAGUCCAAUAACACUCUUCUUCUACGAUGCCAACUUAGGAUUCUAGAUCACUGCCAAGAUAAGAUGUUUGACAAAGAACGACAUGAAGACCAUGCCAAUUGUCGAAUCUCUCCCAUUCUCUCAAUCUGCCUUUUCAGUCUUAAUCAAUAGUCUUUGCUCUAUGCGUUGGGAUGUAAAGGCUAAAGUGAGUGGCCUAAUACAUACUCACCAAACCAAAAUGUAACUGUACUCAAACAAGGAACCAAUUUUUACCACUGCGACGUCGGCAACCAAAGAGAGUGUUUGGUAUCUUAUCAGCUAUGCAACCACCUUAGGUUUUUGUACCCCAUUCUUCUAUUAGUUUUAAUUUGAAUUAUAAGGCAAAAAUCACCCAUUGCUUUUACUUGAUUACUGUAGAGCAUAUUUUCCAUGUGCACUCUCUUUCUCUUUGCAUAAUUCAUAUGCUGGAAGUUGUAGAACUAAAUUAAUUGAACUCAAUUGUAUAAAUUCUAUUUCACCAAUUAAAGCAUGGGUUCUUUGUUAUAUUUU
This is a long non-coding RNA of Humulus lupulus (European hop), 589 nucleotides long. RefSeq lists it as uncharacterized. The record is from RefSeq and is a predicted model, not a curated record. The transcript has 2 exons. NCBI's taxonomy places the organism in Eukaryota, Viridiplantae, Streptophyta, Magnoliopsida, Rosales, Cannabaceae.